GAGUUUGAUCCUGGCUCAGGAUGAACGCUGGCGGCGUGCUUAACACAUGCAAGUCGAACGGUGAAGCCCAGCUUGCUGGGUGGAUCAGUGGCGAACGGGUGAGUAACACGUGAGCAAUCUGCCCCUGACUCUGGGAUAAGCGCUGGAAACGGCGUCUAAUACUGGAUACGAACCGUGGAGGCAUCUUCAACGGUUGGAAAGAUUUUUUGGUCAGGGAUGAGCUCGCGGCCUAUCAGCUUGUUGGUGAGGUAAUGGCUCACCAAGGCGUCGACGGGUAGCCGGCCUGAGAGGGUGACCGGCCACACUGGGACUGAGACACGGCCCAGACUCCUACGGGAGGCAGCAGUGGGGAAUAUUGCACAAUGGGCGAAAGCCUGAUGCAGCAACGCCGCGUGAGGGAUGACGGCCUUCGGGUUGUAAACCUCUUUUAGCAGGGAAGAAGCGUGAGUGACGGUACCUGCAGAAAAAGCGCCGGCUAACUACGUGCCAGCAGCCGCGGUAAUACGUAGGGCGCAAGCGUUAUCCGGAAUUAUUGGGCGUAAAGAGCUCGUAGGCGGUUUGUCGCGUCUGCUGUGAAAUCCCGAGGCUCAACCUCGGGUCUGCAGUGGGUACGGGCAGACUAGAGUGCGGUAGGGGAGAUUGGAAUUCCUGGUGUAGCGGUGGAAUGCGCAGAUAUCAGGAGGAACACCGAUGGCGAAGGCAGAUCUCUGGGCCGUAACUGACGCUGAGGAGCGAAAGGGUGGGGAGCAAACAGGCUUAGAUACCCUGGUAGUCCACCCCGUAAACGUUGGGAACUAGUUGUGGGGUCCAUUCCACGGAUUCCGUGACGCAGCUAACGCAUUAAGUUCCCCGCCUGGGGAGUACGGCCGCAAGGCUAAAACUCAAAGGAAUUGACGGGGACCCGCACAAGCGGCGGAGCAUGCGGAUUAAUUCGAUGCAACGCGAAGAACCUUACCAAGGCUUGACAUAUACGAGAACGCUGCAGAAAUGUAGAACUCUUUGGACACUCGUAAACAGGUGGUGCAUGGUUGUCGUCAGCUCGUGUCGUGAGAUGUUGGGUUAAGUCCCGCAACGAGCGCAACCCUCGUUCUAUGUUGCCAGCACGUAAUGGUGGGAACUCAUGGGAUACUGCCGGGGUCAACUCGGAGGAAGGUGGGGAUGACGUCAAAUCAUCAUGCCCCUUAUGUCUUGGGCUUCACGCAUGCUACAAUGGCCGGUACAAAGGGCUGCAAUACCGUAAGGUGGAGCGAAUCCCAAAAAGCCGGUCCCAGUUCGGAUUGAGGUCUGCAACUCGACCUCAUGAAGUCGGAGUCGCUAGUAAUCGCAGAUCAGCAACGCUGCGGUGAAUACGUUCCCGGGUCUUGUACACACCGCCCGUCAAGUCAUGAAAGUCGGUAACACCUGAAGCCGGUGGCCCAACCCUUGUGGAGGGAGCCGUCGAAGGUGGGAUCGGUAAUUAGGACGAAGUCGUAACAAGGUAGCC
Molecule: ribosomal RNA, 1483 nt
Filed under: Microbacterium laevaniformans
Lineage: Bacteria; Bacillati; Actinomycetota; Actinomycetes; Micrococcales; Microbacteriaceae
Description: bacterial SSU rRNA
Rfam family: Bacterial small subunit ribosomal RNA
Source: RNAcentral